This 425-nucleotide ribosomal RNA is filed under the name uncultured bacterium. RNAcentral describes it as "bacterial SSU rRNA". It matches the Rfam family "Bacterial small subunit ribosomal RNA", at positions 359 to 776 of the family's 1533-position model. The record is from RNAcentral.
GAAUUUUGGACAAUGGGCGAAAGCCUGAUCCAGCAAUGCCGCGUGCAGGAUGAAGGUCUUCGGGUUGUAAAGCCCUUUUGUUGGGAAAGAAAAGCAGUCGGCUAAUACCCGGUUGUUCUGACGGUACCCAACGAAUAAGCCCCGGCCAACUUCGUGCCAGCAGCCGCGGUAAUACGAAGGGUGCAAGCGUUACCCGGAAUUACUGGGCGUAAAGCGUGCGUAGGUGGUUGUUUAAGUCUGUUGUGAAAGCCCUGGGCUCAACCUGGGAAUUGCAGUGGAUACCGGGCGACUAGAGUGUGGUAGAGGGUAGUGGAAUUCCCGGUGUAGCAGUGAAAUGCGUAGAGAUCGGGAGGAACAUCCAUGGCGAAGGCAGCUACCUGGACCAACACUGACACUGAGGCGCGAAAGCGUGGGGAGCAAACAGG